This 345-nucleotide ribosomal RNA is filed under the name Daptonema normandicum. Its description in RNAcentral is "SSU rRNA". It matches the Rfam family "Eukaryotic small subunit ribosomal RNA", at positions 88 to 433 of the family's 1831-position model. The record is from RNAcentral. Lineage: Eukaryota; Metazoa; Nematoda; Chromadorea; Monhysterida; Xyalidae.
CGCGAAUAGCUCAUUACAACAGCCGUUGUUUCUUGGAUCUCCGCAAUACUUGGAUAACUGAGGUAAUUCUUGAGCUAAUACACGCAAUCGAGCUCUGACCUUUGGGACGAGUGCAUUUAUUAGAACAAAACCAAUCGGUGCUUGCACUGUGGUUUGGUGAAUCUGAAUAACUGAGCAGAUCGCUUCGGUCUCGUACCGGCGAUGUAUCCUUCAAGUGUCUGCCUUAUCAACUUUCGAUGGUAGUUUAUGUGCCUACCAUGGUUGUAACGGGUAACGGAGAAUUAGGGUUCGAUUCCGGAGAGGGAGCCUGAGAAACGGCUACCACUUCCAAGGAAGGCAGCAGGC